Long non-coding RNA from Astatotilapia calliptera (eastern happy), 3160 nucleotides. The record is from Ensembl. NCBI's taxonomy places the organism in Eukaryota, Metazoa, Chordata, Actinopteri, Cichliformes, Cichlidae.
GGUUUAGUUAGCCUUUGUCAGGCGACCGAAAACACCUGCUGUGACAUCACUGAUUGGAUUGCGACCUAAAGUGCAGCAAGCAGUUUUCUGCCACGCGUGAUGCACGGUGGAUUCAGACGGACAGCAUUGCUGUGAACACUAAAUGAGCUGAAAGUAAUUCUAAUGGAAAGCCAGAUUAUUAGUAAUUAUUGAUGCUAACAAACGGUCAGACCUCACCUCCUGAGAUUUAUGAAUACAGUCAUCCAUUGUGGAGCCAGCAAGUCCAGAGCAUUUCAUCCUCACAUCAGAUACAGACCAAAUUAUUUUUGUUUACAGAUGACUGCGAGGGAAAGCAGCCCUGUUGUAUCUCGUUUAUGCAUCACGACACUGAAGCGCUGCCAUUGGUUUAUCUCACCGGAGAUCAAGGUGACUUUGAAGUGUAUUAUUCCAAUCACAUUCCCUCCUUGUUCCCACCGUUCAAGCAGCUCGUCAACUGCACUGUUGCACUGUAGAUACACGAUGCAACUUUUCAGUGUAUUUAAUUUGUGGGAGUGAGCUUUAUUUAUCGAUAUUCCUUUCUGUGGGCAGUAUAGCACUAUGUAUUUGUGUGUUGUUUUUCUUUUCCUGUGUCAAAGUGUCCACCUUAACUAUAUUGUAAACAUGCAGAUGAUAUGAACUUGACGUUUUAGGAUUUAUUGUUUGUUUUGUAAAUGAUGGCUUUUUUGCACACCUACCUCUCCAGCUCCCCUGUCAAUUCAUGUUGUGGUGAUUUUUAUGUUUUAUGAUGAUGUGGACAUAUCGAAUGAAGGAAUAUUAACGCCGGACACAUCAUAUGAACUUAAAUGCAACAUUUUAAUGAGAUUUUUUUCUUAAAUGUUUGCAGUGGGAAACAUUAGUGUCGUUUUCUUUUUUUUCUUUCUUUUUUUUCUUUUUGGAGGGGGUGGGGGGGGGGAGGCAUUUCUGCCUAUUGCCUAUUGCUAUUGUUUAAGUGUGGGUCAGCCUGUUUCAUCAGCUAGGACCAAAUGAAGCAUCGGUGAUAGAGGGAAGUGUCUUUUGUUUUAAGUUAACGACUCGCAGAAAUGCUUAAAGAGUUCUAAAAAUUAAAUGUGAAAGCCGACAGAGACCUGCUGGCAUCGGACGGUAAAGAAAAUCUGUCUGUUUUGAAUGGUGCUUCUUUCAUGAGGUGGCUGCAAUAUGACAGUGGCUGCACUAACGACCAAGGCCACACUGACUGAAUCACUUCGAGCUAAUCUCAGCGUUAUCAAUGUCUUAACUGAAAGCCAUAGGUCAGUGAGGGACAUCAUCUGGCACCUCCAGCCAUGUCGGCAGAUAAUAAGAUGGCCCGUCUGCUCACGUGAGCUUGGCUUCAUAAAGUACCGCUGUAAUUUUUCUUUUUGUUUUUCUUUUCCACAUUCCAAGUUCAUUUCGUAUUUGCUGUUAUUGUCAUCACAAUGCCUACGUUUGUCUCGUCCAGAUUUCCUUUAAAAGCCCACCCCUCCCUCGUUGCUCUCGGAUCGUUCUCAUCUGUUUUUUUGCCCGAACUUUGAACACACUGCGCAAGUCAAUUUUCUUUAAACCCUGCUGUGAAUUUAAACUGACCUUGUGCAUUAGGUUUUUUGUGUGUAUGUGCGUGCGUGUCUGAAGGUGUAGUGGUGUAGUUGAUGUGUAGUUGUUAGUGUGACACCGCGGUAUUUUUCUCUUGAUUCUCUUGAUUGUCGGUCCAGUGCCCUCCCCCCUCCCGUUCUUUCUAUCUGUUGCCCUCCUCUGCCAUCCAAUCUGUCCAGCAUCUGUCGCCAGGGUGCGGGCUAACACAGAGGAGCUUUUAAAACACCAAAUGUACGACCCGGAGUGUAUACAAUCAAAGAAAGCACAAAGGAUCAUUAGGCACAAGAGACCCGCUUUGGAUACUCGAAAUCUUGGAAAUCCAUCUGCUGCUUUUGCAGACGUGAUUUAAAAGUCUUGAUUUAUUUCUUUGCAGAAGUCUUGAAUGAAAUGAACAUGCUAGCUUAUGUAUGUCUGUAAAACUGGAUCCAUAGGGCUGAGACAACAGGUCGUUAUAAGAGACCCAACGUGAUGGUGUUCACUACGUCAGCCGUCACCAGUUAUCCACAAAUGUAUAUCUCGUACAUAUUCUAAACGAAUCUAAUAUAAGAAUGUAAUGUAGGUGAGAUGUAUUAUGAAUAUAGUGAAGAGUUUAUUACGUUUUAAUCUAAAGAUUUGUGCUUUACACAUUCACCGAGAAAUUUCACGAACCAGCUCACUGAUAUGCAAUAAGUAAAGCCACACACACACACAGACACUCAGUAGGAAAAAAGUAAACGCUGAACACCAUCUGUCAGUCACAGGAAACACAGUGUAUGAAUAAUGCAGCUGGGGGGACCUUGGAGGCCUUUUGGGGGGUCUGAGCUCAUUUCACGGCCUCUGUUCUCUUCCUCCAAGAGGAAUUGUGCAUUAUAGCACUUUAGAAAUCGAGGACCCCCCACCCCCGCUGUCCACCUACAAAGUCUCUCUAUGACAUAGAGGGUGUUUAUGAAUAUGUGGUGAAUGACACGGUUGUCUUAGACAUGGUUUACAAUGCAAUGGAAAAUAAAUAAAUUGUGUUCCCUGUCACAAUUCGCUGUUAAAUAAACUCACUGUCCUGAAAUCUCCUGUUGUGGUUGUCUGUGUGCUGAGUGUCACACUUUUUCCAACUCUCAUUAUUGUGGUCCGGCGGUCGUCCGAGAGAACACAGAAGAACUGACACAGCGUUUUUUUUUGUUUUUUUUCACGUGUAAUAGUGCUGUGAAGACUAAACAGUAGGGCUAUGUUUUGAAGACUACAAGGAUGACAUUGUGGCUCCUCGGGGCACGGGUGCAGCUGUGACUGCUGUUAUGGUUUUUGCCCGAUGAAGCCACCAGGUGUCAGUGUGGGGUCGCAGUAGAGCUGUGGUCCUCUAGUGGGAGUGGGAAGAGAGCAGAACAGCGCCUUAUACUACAGGUGUAUGCUAAGCUGGGGUGGUGUGGUAGAAGAUCACGCGCUCCCAUCUCACUCACUGUUUCAGCUUUCUUUUGUUAGUCUCUUACAGCUGUGGCAGACCUUAUAGGCAGCUGAGCCUCUUUUACCUGAGCUCUUUGUGGUUGCACUCGCUGAAUAAGGUCUAUGUGUUUAGAACUUGCAUGAUAGGAAUAAGUGCAUUUUCUUG